This 465-nucleotide ribosomal RNA is filed under the name uncultured Klebsiella sp. RNAcentral describes it as "bacterial SSU rRNA". It matches the Rfam family "Bacterial small subunit ribosomal RNA", at positions 338 to 795 of the family's 1533-position model. The record is from RNAcentral. Lineage: Bacteria; Pseudomonadati; Pseudomonadota; Gammaproteobacteria; Enterobacterales; Enterobacteriaceae.
CCUACGGGUGGCUGCAGUGGGGAAUAUUGCACAAUGGGCGCAAGCCUGAUGCAGCCAUGCCGCGUGUGUGAAGAAGGCCUUCGGGUUGUAAAGCACUUUCAGCGGGGAGGAAGGCGGUGAGGUUAAUAACCUCAUCGAUUGACGCUACCCGCAGAAGAAGCACCGGCUAACUCCGUGCCAGCAGCCGCGGUAAUACGGAGGGUGCAAGCGUUAAUCGGAAUUACUGGGCGUAAAGCGCACGCAGGCGGUCUGUCAAGUCGGAUGUGAAAUCCCCGGGCUCAACCUGGGAACUGCAUUCGAAACUGGCAGGCUAGAGUCUUGUAGAGGGGGGUAGAAUUCCAGGUGUAGCGGUGAAAUGCGUAGAGAUCUGGAGGAAUACCGGUGGCGUAGGCGGCCCCCUGGACAAAGACUGACGCUCAGGUGCGAAAGCGUGGGGAGCAAACAGGAUUAGAUACCCUUGUAGUC